RNAcentral lists this microRNA precursor (87 nucleotides) under Sorex araneus (European shrew). The record is from RNAcentral. Lineage: Eukaryota; Metazoa; Chordata; Mammalia; Eulipotyphla; Soricidae.
UGUCUACGGCCAUACCAUCCUGAAUGUGCCCAUCUCAUCUGAUCUCGGAAGCUAAGCAGGGUCGGGCCUGGUUAGUACUUGGAUGGG